UACCAGCACCCCGAGUGGUCGGGACGUUUAUUGGGCCUAAAGCAUCCGUAGCCGGUUCUACAAGUCUUCCGUUAAAUCCAACUGCUUAGCAGGUGGGCUGCGGAAGAUACUAUAGAGCUAGGAGGCGGGAGAGGCAAGCGGUACUCGAUGGGUAGGGGUAAAAUCCGUUGAUCCAUUGAAGACCACCAGUGGCGAAGGCGGCUUGCCAGAACGCGCUCGACGGUGAGGGAUGAAAGCUGGGGGAGCAAACCGG
RNAcentral lists this ribosomal RNA (253 nucleotides) under uncultured bacterium. Its description in RNAcentral is "partial 16S ribosomal RNA". It matches the Rfam family "Archaeal small subunit ribosomal RNA", at positions 474 to 727 of the family's 1478-position model. The record is from RNAcentral.